Long non-coding RNA from Acanthopagrus latus (yellowfin seabream), 669 nucleotides. RefSeq lists it as uncharacterized. The record is from RefSeq and is a predicted model, not a curated record. Lineage: Eukaryota; Metazoa; Chordata; Actinopteri; Spariformes; Sparidae. The transcript has 2 exons.
AUGACAUCUACAAAAGUUGUGCACUUUUAACAAACAAACAGUGAUGCAGCAAAUCGGAUCUUGCCCAAGUUUCCAACUCUUACGGCCGUUCCAUUGCACUUUUCCUUGUUUUUGACCCGAGUUCCAGGUGCAAUGGAAUGCACCAUUAUUAUCGGUUAGCCUGACAUCAAAGCUAACGGUAAUUGGCUAACACUAGACAUUAUGGCGCCUACAUUCAUGGCUGGGUUCAGGGGGGGGUCUGGAGCUGACCCCACCUGAUACUGGGCAGGAUACACCCUGGAUAAGCCACCAGUUCAUCAGGGGGCUGACGUAUUGGGACGAGCAACCAUCCACGCUGAUAUUCAUAUCUACGGACAGUUUAGAGUAACAGAUUAACCUGCCUUUUCUCUGGGUCAGGGGAGAACAUUCAAACUCCGCACAGAAAGGCUGUGCCUCAGCCGGGGCUCGAAACCCAGGACCUUCUUGCUGUGAGGCAACACGAAACAACUUCCUUUUUGGACAAUUACCCAAACUAAGAAUUGGCUGUGUGUAUCACAGCAGCUUUAAGGCAUUUAAGGAAAAAUUGCAAGUCUUGGAUCUUGCCAAGUGUCUUGCUUUACAACUACAGACAUUUGUUUUGGAUAGGAGCACAACUUAAGCACAACUUAAAAGAUACUCAUGAUGAAAAGA